This 506-nucleotide ribosomal RNA is filed under the name uncultured soil bacterium. Its description in RNAcentral is "bacterial SSU rRNA". It matches the Rfam family "Bacterial small subunit ribosomal RNA", at positions 26 to 517 of the family's 1533-position model. The record is from RNAcentral.
AGGACGAACGCUGGCGGCGUGCUUAACACAUGCAAGUGGAGCGACGAACCAGGGCUUGCCCUGGGGCAGAGCCGCGAACGGGUGAGUAACACGUGGGUAACCUACCCCGAUGAUUGGGACAACCCGAGGAAACUCGGGCUAAUACCAAAUGUGCCCGCAGUCUUUGAGGACUGCGUGUAAAGAUAGCUUCGGCCUUCGCAUCGGGACGGGCCCGCGGCCCAUUAGCUUGUUGGUGGGGUAACGGCCUACCAAGGCGACGAUGGGUAGCUGGUCUGAGAGGACGAUCAGCCACACUGGGACUGAGACACGGCCCAGACUCCUACGGGAGGCAGCAGUGGGGAAUCUUGCGCAAUGCGCGAAAGCGUGACGCAGCAACGCCGCGUGGAGGAAGACGGCCCUCGGGUUGUAAACUCCUUUCAGUUGGGACGAAGCUCAGCUGGUUAAUAGCCAGAUGGAGUGACGGUACCUUCAGAAGAAGCCCCCGGCUAACUACGUGCCAGCAGCCG